GUGCCCACUUGGAUGGCACAUAUACUGAAACUGGAAGGAUACAAAGAGGAAUAGCACAGCCCCUGCGUGCAAGGAUGACACCCAAAUUCAUGAAGCAUUCCAUAUUAAA
Molecule: small nuclear RNA, 109 nt
Organism: Vulpes vulpes (red fox)
Lineage: Eukaryota; Metazoa; Chordata; Mammalia; Carnivora; Canidae
Source: Ensembl